UACGUAGGGGGCAAGCGUUAUCCGGAAUUAUUGGGCGUAAAGAGUACGUAGGUGGCAACCUAAGCGCAGGGCUUAAGGCAAUGGCUCAACCAUUGUUCGCCCUGCGAACUGGGAUGCUUGAGUGCAGGAGAGGAAAGCGGAAUUCCUAGUGUAGCGGUGAAGUGCGUAGAUAUUAGGAGGAACACCAGUGGCGAAGGCGGCUUUCUGGACUGUAACUGACACUGAGGUACGAAAGCGUGGGGAGCAAACAGG
RNAcentral lists this ribosomal RNA (252 nucleotides) under uncultured bacterium. RNAcentral describes it as "partial 16S ribosomal RNA". It matches the Rfam family "Bacterial small subunit ribosomal RNA", at positions 524 to 776 of the family's 1533-position model. The record is from RNAcentral.